Molecule: non-coding RNA, 72 nt
Organism: Apaloderma vittatum (bar-tailed trogon)
Lineage: Eukaryota; Metazoa; Chordata; Aves; Trogoniformes; Trogonidae
Source: Rfam
GGCCGGUUAGCUUAGUCAGUUGAGCAUGGUGCUAACAACGCUAAGGUCGCGAGUUCGAUUCCCGUUCGGUCC